UGGCCCAAACACCUGAACAUAUGACUGGUGGUAUGAAGUCUGAAGGUAGUAAGAGCUUUGCUGAGACACAAGGGACUAUGAGUGCAAAGGAAAUUGAGAAGAUAUCAGAUGAAAGCAACAAUGUUCAACCAAGUUGGAUGAAAUUACUGAUAAUUAUAUACAAUGUCACACUCGAUGUUAUGACAUUAUAUUAUGACAACCUGGACGGUACACCUUUGUCCAAAGACCAUAUUCAGCACAGCUGGACCAAUUACAUCACUUGCUUUCAUCACUCAUGUAGAAAAUAUGUAGAAAACAAACUCAUAGUUCUACAGCAUGAAAUGCAACUAACCAACAGGACUGCA
This 344-nucleotide long non-coding RNA is filed under the name Lathyrus oleraceus (garden pea). RNAcentral describes it as "Pisum sativum (pea) long non-coding RNA (PSAT_LNC038656)". Lineage: Eukaryota; Viridiplantae; Streptophyta; Magnoliopsida; Fabales; Fabaceae. The record is from RNAcentral.